Molecule: ribosomal RNA, 393 nt
Filed under: uncultured bacterium
Lineage: Bacteria
Description: bacterial SSU rRNA
Rfam family: Bacterial small subunit ribosomal RNA
Source: RNAcentral
AGAGUUUGAUCCUGGCUCAGAACGAACGCUGGCGGCAGGCCUCAAACAUGCAAGUCUAGGGGGUGCGCAAGCAUCACCGGCGGACGGGUGCGUAACACGUGGGAAUAUACCUUUUGGUUCGGAACAACGCAGGGAAACUUGCGCUAAUACCGAAUGUGCCCUUACGGGGAAAGAUUUAUCGCCAAAGGAUUAGCCCGCGUAGGAUUAGCUAGUUGGUGAGGUAAUGGCUCACCAAGGCUCCGAUCCUUAGCUGUUCUGAGAGGAAGAUCAGCCACACUGGGACUGAGACACGGCCCAGACUCCUACGGGAGGCAGCAGUUGGGAAUCUUGGACAAUGGGGGAAACCCUGAUCCAGCCUUGCCGCGUGAGUGAUGAAGGCCUUCGGGUUGUAAA